GACGAACGCUGGCGGCGUGCUUAACACAUGCAAGUCGAACGGAAAGGCCCUGCUUUUGUGGGGUGCUCGAGUGGCGAACGGGUGGGUAACACGUGAGUAACCUGCCCUUGACUUUGGGAUAACUUCAGGAAACUGGGGCUAAUACCGGAUAGGAGCUCCUGCUGCAUGGUGGGGGUUGGAAAGUUUCGGCGGUUGGGGAUGGACUCGCGGCUUAUCAGCUUGUUGGUGGGGUAGUGGCUUACCAAGGCUUUGACGGGUAGCCGGCCUGAGAGGGUGACCGGCCACAUUGGGACUGAGAUACGGCCCAGACUCCUACGGGAGGCAGCAGUGGGGAAUAUUGCACAAUGGGCGGGAGCCUGAUGCAGCAACGCCGCGUGCGGGAUGACGGCCUUCGGGUUGUAAACCGCUUUCGCCUGUGACGAAGCGUGAGUGACGGUAAUGGGUAAAGAAGCACCGGCUAACUACGUG
Molecule: ribosomal RNA, 468 nt
Filed under: uncultured bacterium
Lineage: Bacteria
Description: partial 16S ribosomal RNA
Rfam family: Bacterial small subunit ribosomal RNA
Source: RNAcentral